Silurus meridionalis is the source of this 896-nucleotide long non-coding RNA. RefSeq lists it as uncharacterized. NCBI's taxonomy places the organism in Eukaryota, Metazoa, Chordata, Actinopteri, Siluriformes, Siluridae. The transcript has 3 exons. The record is from RefSeq and is a predicted model, not a curated record.
UUUUUAAAUUAUAUUUUAUUAAGAAAAUUUACAUUUCCAUCUUUUCGUUGAAUGCUGUGAAUUGUGGGUAAUGUAGUCCUGUAGGUCUUUUAUUGUGCAGUGUGAGGAAGUGUUUCAGAGGAAACAUGCGUUAUGAACUCCAGAAGUUUUCUCUGCUUUCUCUCUCACACAGCUCGAGUUUUUAUAAAGUCAAGUUUCAACAGUGUAAAAAAUUAAAGAUUUUACUGUAGUGAAUUUGGUCUUUAACACACAAUUAUACUUAUAAUUCAUAUAUUUUGUGUAAUAAACAGAACCUCAACACCUGAAGAGAAGAACAGGAGCAUCAACAGAUGAACACAGAACACGAUGUGAUGCACACUGAAGACAUCGCUCCAGCUCUGAGAUCACAAACUAAAGUAAUAAGAAAGAAAGAAAGAAAGAAAGAAAGAAAGAAAGAGUGUACGAUUCACAUACAAGUCACAAGCACUAGUUUAAGAGCCAGAGUUGUGAAUCUUCUCCAUCCAUCACUACAUCCUUCUCCUUCUCCAUGAUCUUCUCCAUCCAUCUCAGGUCUGUAUGUGUAUGCAGUUCACAUGAUGAACACUCAAGUGCUGUAACUGUGACAACACGGGCAUUCCUGCUUCAUCUGGCCUGUGAGGAGGAUUUCAGGGUCCACUGAGGAUGAAGAGGGAAAUCUGGAUGGAUAAUGAAAGGUCAAAUUUCAAAGGUAGAUGUUACCUGUGUAAUACACAGUGUUUAGAUAUUCAGCAGGAGUGUUCUACAGUGUGGUUCAGUGUGAAGAUCAGAUGGGCUGAACGGAACCAGGCAGGCUGCAGGUGGGAUCUACAGACCAUGUGCUCCACAUGUAUGGAUGCUACAAACCCCUGGUGGAAGCAGUAAGGUGUGAUAAUGUUGUU